UCGAAGCCUAGAAAGCACGACCGCGAACGAGUUUCUUUUCGAGAAGCGAGGGGAAACCCUCGGGCAUCCCUUUGCUUCCUCGCUCGGCAGGGGAAGGAGCCUUGCGCUCCAUUCCCUCCGAAACUAACGAACCCCGGCGCGGAAAGCGCCAAGGAAUCAUAACGAAAUGACUUGUCCUUCCGGCCCGUCAUCGGACCGCGAUGGGCAUGUGUCUGAUCAUAAAAAUCAUAACGACUCUCGGCAACGGAUAUCUCGGCUCUCGCAUCGAUGAAGAACGUAGCGAAAUGCGAUACUUGGUGUGAAUUGCAGAAUCCCGUGAACCAUCGAGUUUUUGAACGCAAGUUGCGCCCGAAGCCUUUAGGCCGAGGGCACGUCUGCCUGGGCGUCACGCACUGCGAUGCCCCCCAAACUACUUGUUAUUUGGGGAGCGAAUCUUGGCCUCCCGUGAGCUCCAACUCGCGGAUGGCUUAAAAACGAGCCUCGAGACGGUGAGACGUCGCGACAAGUGGUGGUUUAGGGGCUUCGGCCCUCUAGCUUUGCGCGUCGCGCGCCUUUCGCUCCGUGUCUCCAAAAGUUAACCCCGAAGGAGCGUACUUGCUACGCUGCCAGCAUCG
Molecule: unclassified non-coding RNA, 614 nt
Filed under: Sempervivum caucasicum
Lineage: Eukaryota; Viridiplantae; Streptophyta; Magnoliopsida; Saxifragales; Crassulaceae
Description: sequence contains ITS1, 5.8S rRNA gene and ITS2
Rfam family: 5.8S ribosomal RNA (bases 233-388)
Source: RNAcentral